RNAcentral lists this transfer RNA (75 nucleotides) under Methanosarcinales archaeon. RNAcentral describes it as "tRNA-Arg". It matches the Rfam family "tRNA". Rfam says of the family: Transfer RNA (tRNA) molecules are approximately 80 nucleotides in length. Their secondary structure includes four short double-helical elements and three loops (D, anti-codon, and T loops). The record is from RNAcentral. RNAcentral also lists the same sequence under 1 other name. Lineage: Archaea; Methanobacteriati; Methanobacteriota; Methanomicrobia; Methanosarcinales.
GGGCUCGUGGCUUAGCCAGGAUAUAGCGCCGGCCUUCUAAGCCGGACGUCCCGGGUUCGAAUCCCGGCGAGUCCG